Molecule: long non-coding RNA, 280 nt
Filed under: Homo sapiens (human)
Lineage: Eukaryota; Metazoa; Chordata; Mammalia; Primates; Hominidae
Description: HSALNT0359155
Source: RNAcentral
AUUCACCUGCCUCAGCCUCCCGAAUAGUUGGGACUGCAGAGGAAAGGCCAUGUGAAGAUAAAGAAAAGGCUGCCAUCUCCAGGUCAGGAAGAGAGGUCUCACCAGAAACCAACUUGGACUUCUAGCAUCUAGAACUAUGUUUAUUGUAAGGAUUAAAUCAGCUAAACCAAGAAAAGCCUCAGGGAUGGUGCCUGGCAAACUGCACGCUGUUAAUACAUGUUAGUGGACCCUUCUCCACACCUUCCUGCUACACUAAAGCAGAGAGAAUUACCUCCUGAAU